GAUGAACGCUGGCGGCGUGCCUAAUACAUGCAAGUCGAGCGAACAGACGAGGAGCUUGCUCCUCUGACGUUAGCGGCGGACGGGUGAGUAACACGUGGAUAACCUACCUAUAAGACUGGGAUAACUUCGGGAAACCGGAGCUAAUACCGGAUAAUAUAUUGAACCGCAUGGUUCAAUAGUGAAAGACGGUUUUGCUGUCACUUAUAGAUGGUCCGCGCCGCAUUAGCUAGUUGGUAAGGUAACGGCUUACCAAGGCAAAGAUGCGUAGCCGACCUGAGAGGGUGAUCGGCCACACUGGAACUGAGACACGGUCCAGACUCCUACGGGAGGCAGCAGUAGGGAAUCUUCCGCAAAGGGCGAAAGCCUGACGGAGCAACGCCGCGUGAGUGAUGAAGGUCUUCGGAUCGUAAAACUCUGUUAUUAGGGAAGAACAAAUGUGUAAGUAACUAUGCACGUCUUGACGGUACCUAAUCAGAAAGCCACGGCUAACUACGUG
This 496-nucleotide ribosomal RNA is filed under the name uncultured bacterium. RNAcentral describes it as "partial 16S ribosomal RNA". It matches the Rfam family "Bacterial small subunit ribosomal RNA", at positions 28 to 507 of the family's 1533-position model. The record is from RNAcentral.